Molecule: ribosomal RNA, 429 nt
Filed under: bacterium
Lineage: Bacteria
Description: partial 16S ribosomal RNA
Rfam family: Bacterial small subunit ribosomal RNA
Source: RNAcentral
UAGGGAAUCUUCGGCAAUGGGGGCAACCCUGACCGAGCAACGCCGCGUGUGUGAAGAAGGUUUUCGGAUCGUAAAGCUCUGUUGUAAGAGAAGAACGUGUGUGAGAGUGGAAAGUUCACACAGUGACGGUAACUUACCAGAAAGGGACGGCUAACUACGUGCCAGCAGCCGCGGUAAUACGUAGGUCCCGAGCGUUGUCCGGAUUUAUUGGGCGUAAAGCGAGCGCAGGCGGUUUAAUAAGUCUGAAGUUAAAGGCAGUGGCUUAACCAUUGUUCGCUUUGGAAACUGUUAAACUUGAGUGCAGACGGGGAGAGUGGAAUUCCAUGUGUAGCGGUGAAAUGCGUAGAUAUAUGGAGGAACACCGGUGGCGAAAGCGGCUCUCUGGUCUGUACCUGACGCUGAGGCUCGAAAGCGUGGGGAGCAAACAGG